Molecule: ribosomal RNA, 408 nt
Filed under: uncultured bacterium
Lineage: Bacteria
Description: bacterial SSU rRNA
Rfam family: Bacterial small subunit ribosomal RNA
Source: RNAcentral
UGGGGGAUAUUGCACAAUGGAGGAAACUCUGAUGCAGCAACGCCGCGUGAGGGAAGAAGGUCUUCGGAUUGUAAACCUUUGUCCUUGGUGAAGAAAAGAAUGACGGUAGCCAAGGAGGAAGCUCCGGCUAACUACGUGCCAGCAGCCGCGGUAAUACGUAGGGAGCAAGCGUUGUCCGGAUUUACUGGGUGUAAAGGGUGCGUAGGCGGCUCUGCAAGUCAGGCGUGAAAACCAUGGGCUUAACCCAUUGGAUUGCGUUUGAAACUGUGGAGCUUGAGUGAAGUAGAGGUAGGCGGAAUUCCCGGUGUAGCGGUGAAAUGCGUAGAGAUCGGGAGGAACACCAGUGGCGAAGGCGGCUUACUGGGCUUUAACUGACGCUGAGGCACGAAAGCAUGGGUAGCAAACAGG